This is a long non-coding RNA of Ctenopharyngodon idella (grass carp), 6186 nucleotides long. RefSeq lists it as uncharacterized. The record is from RefSeq and is a predicted model, not a curated record. The transcript is spliced from 2 exons. Lineage: Eukaryota; Metazoa; Chordata; Actinopteri; Cypriniformes; Xenocyprididae.
AUUCAAGAGAGACGGUUCACUCAAAAAAGAAAAUUAUGUCUUUUUACUGAUUUACUGAUGAUGACUUCAAUUACGUCAACAAAGCAUCUCUGAACACACACACACACACACACACUCACUCACACACACACACACACACACACACACACACACUCACUCUUUAAGUUUCUGAUUUCACCUGAUCUUGUGUUACACACUCACACAUAUCUGCAGUGACAGACAUCAGCAGGUGACGCAGAAUCAGGAACCCUGCAUCUGUUUUUCAUCACACAUGAACAGAGAUUUAAAGGCAUCUUCCAACUUUCAACAGGUUCAGAUUGAUUUUCUUUUCUUCACAUACAUUUUCACCAGUUUAUACACUCACAAAAGCAAUUAAAUAUUUUACAAAUCAGCAUAAUAAGAAUGUAUUUACAAUAGAAAUUUCACAAUUUUUACACUUUCCAUAACCAUGUGAACUCUAAAAAGUUCACACAAGAAUCUCUCGCUGGGAAAAUGCGAUUCAAAAUAAAUCUAAAGAUAUAAAAGCAAAAAAUCAGCUGUUGCACUGAUUUACCGCUGCAACACAACACCCAAAAACAGCCUUUCAGAAGCAACCGGCUUGACUUCUGCAGUUUAAUGGUGAUAAACAUCUGCGAAGAGUCUGUUUCCCUUCAACUCGUCGUGACCCGCAGCGCCUCCGAGAAGCUCACGUAUCUGUGAAGUAUUUUUAGGUUUGGCAAGGAGAGGCAAAAAACCCAAUGCAUGCUUUCAUAAUGUGACACCAGAUGAAGGUGCACAACUCUUACCAAAGUCUUGCAGCACAAUUAAAAUUUCACCCUUUGAGAAUGACUGACACCUGCAAGUAGAUGCACUGCGCCUCCUUACUGCGUUCUACAGCUGAAGACUGGACGCCCGUGUCAGGCUAUUUACAGAUAAUGCUGAGCAAGAGAACAUUCCCACAGCUGAAAUGACAUGAAGAGAGCGACCCGUUCGCCUGCGAAGCGCCUCUGAUUAAUGCAGCCUGCAAGAAAAUGGAAACAAUGGAAAUAAUGGAUCCGGAAAGCCAGAUGACAGCACUGGAGGACGACAUGCCGGCGGAAGAACUGGAACCGCUGAACGACGCACUGAAGGAUUUGAGCAACAGUCUGAGAGAGGUCGUCCAGGAUGGUGCUGUGAAGCCCAAACUCCACUGCCUGAUGAUGGAUCCAUCCUUCUCCAUGGUCACGGUCCAGAGCGAGGAUAGCGGGAUUGUUUGGGAAACCGCUUCCAGCCGCUGCUCUACGCCGUGGGCCUCCGAGUUCAACGCAGAACCCGCAUAUCCUCCCUGCACUUCUGGAACGGCUGGCAGGAUUGUGUUCAUUAUGGAUGAAGAACUGAUGAGCAGAAGGAAGAAAAAGCAAAGAUCUGAGAAAACAAAGACUCUUCCGCAAGUCAGCCGCGAAAUUCUGGCGGAAGCAGAGAGACCGGCCAUGGUAGAAGUGUCCGUGCCUAAUGUGAUGCCGCGGAGGGAGCAGAAGAGCACAAAACGGCAGAUCUAAAAGAAGAGCGUCUGUUCAGUCUAGUCUCUGAAGGAUCCGAGAUACUAAACAUCAUUGCUUCGCUGAAAGUGUCCACGGUGGACGAAGAGGAAAGCAAAGGUCUGGAAGACAAUUUGUACUACCUUGAGGAGACACCUACCGUGAAAUACACAGAGAUCCCAGAUGAACCUGAGCUGGAUGUUCAUUCUGAAACUGAGAAGAUCCCUUCAGUGAUACCAGAGCCCUUAGUCUCAUUCCCUCAUGUCCAAGUCCCUCGAAGAGGCACGACAGCUGAAGACUACUUUGAGAAGUUCACACUCCUUGACAAUCAAGCGCCAUCGGGAGCGACGCCCGUUGAUGAAGCCCAGCAGCAAACAGAGGAAAAGAUCACAGAAGACGCCGAUAAUGCUCCUGAUGUGGAACCAGGCCCCGGUGUCUCCUCAGCUGUGAGUAUGCUAGACAUUUCUGGUGAACACUUGGACGAUGUGUUUUACGGUGGAGGGGGCGAGCCACACAGUCUCGAUACUGCUGCGAGUGUUGGCGAAAAGGGAAGGGUGCCGUCCAAAUCCUCUCUGAAGGAAAGCGGCAGCGCGUUGUUUGGAAGCGAGGAGUCGGUCCUCACUCCCAUAUACCUUCCUGAAAGUCCUCAGAAAAUCAUCGACCCCAACCUGCUGGAGGAGCCCAAAGCCUUGGCGUUUUUGUACUCGGAUCUGUACGCGGAUGCCAUCGGGACCAGGAAGAAGAAGGAUGAUGACGCCGAGAGCGUGACCUCUGAGAAAUCCUUCCACAGUCAAGAGUCUGACUCCGAGGACAGAGGCUAUCUGGAGAAGUUCGUGCUCAAGGUUGAGACUCAGGCCACGGAGAACGACUUCAGGCGUCCUGAAGAACGGCAUGACCCUUUCAGACUCACUGGAUUCGUGGAACGCCACAAAGCGGAAGUGGAAAAUCAGGCAGAAGAGCUGGAAGAAAUCACGGAUUUCUUUAGAAACAGCGCAUCUUCGUCACCCUGCGAACCUGUCGAGCGGAUGGAGAGAGAAGAAGAGAUCGAAGUUGUCAGGACUCCUCGGGUUACUUUCAAAGAACCUGCGCCAACACGUACAGAACAACGGGCGAGCGAUCCUCAACCAUUCGCUGACGACGCUGAGUUUUUCAGAAGAAUUUUUACCGGUUGAAAUAAGUGAGGAUUGUCCAGCAUGGGAGGAAAACUUGCCGACGAUUGUCAGAGAUGCUGCUGUAAAAUCAACUUCAACCCGGAUAGAUGCACCAAAACUUAAACCAAAGCCAGUAAGCGAUAACAGCCAAAUCCAAGCCCAAAACACAGUCAAACCCAUAACUCCACGCCACAAACCCUUCUUGGAUCUGACCCCACUGCUGCCCGUCGAGACCGAGGAUGAGAAAGAAACAACAGAGGGUGAAAAGGAGAAAGAGAACACAAGCUCUGAAGAUGCUGGAUCAUCCAGCACUAAAGAAGAGGGUACAGACUGCUCGCUCUCCAAAGCGAUUCCUGACAUGUAGGACUGCAAUGAUCCCUCAAAACGGCUGGAUUAUCUGCAUGAGGGCAAUGCUGAAGCGGAUCAUGUUGAUGCUCCAGCUGCCUUGAGAAAGUCUGAUUGACAUUUAAGGGUCACUGAUUCGCUGGCUUGACAACGAGUGAUCCGUCUGCAUUUGUGACGUCCUGCAAAAGAACAGAAAACGAGCAGAACAUUAUCAUAUGUCUCUGAGCGCAUAGUCUGGAAUGGAAAAACAUAAAUAUGGAAUAUAGUUAAUGUACAGUAUAUGGUUGUAUAAGGCUAAUGAGACAAAACUGUGUGUUUGUGAGAGUGUAUGUACAGAUUACAACUCACCUGCACAGCUGAAAAAUAAGUAAAUGAUAAAAAAUAAAAAAAACAUUUUAUCUUUGUACAAUAACUAUGCUUAAAUGAUGUACAUAUGGCUAUAAUAUUCACCUCUAGACACCAUGUAGAAUAGUUUUUUUUCUGCUCAGGCUUCAGCAUAUGUACAACAGUGGAAUUAUUAUAUUUAAAAAUAAUCACAAACGUGUAGACAUAUGUGAAUACAAUGAAUAAAGUAGAAAUGAUUUACUGUUAGCAUGAUGAAUGUUUUGUUUCAUGUCAGUCAAGUAUCUAAAAGUCAUUGUUUUCUCAUCAAAAUCUUUAAUGAUAAGCCUAAACUUGUGCAUCAACCACCAAUCAAAAAGUCGUACAUUGCUAGAGUGAAUUAAAUCUCUAAUAUGAAGCACAUGAUCGACUGCUUACCUGUAUCUGACCCCCAACUAAACGUCAUUAAGCACUCAAUAUUCAGUUUUUAAUUGUUUCUUAAACCUUCAGGGAAGGUAAUACUAUUAUUUGUCGUGAAGUGUCUUACCUCAGUAAUUCGCGCCUUUUCCUGUCAGUCUCCGGGCGCGCGAUCGCGACAAUCACAGACGUUUGACGUUUACGACCGGCCGAAUGUGGAACAAUUUACGCCUCAUUAGAAAAAAAAAAGCACGCUUUUGUAAAUCAAAAUUAAUACAUAAAUCGAAAUUAAGUCCAAAUACGUAAAAUUUUAAACUAUGACGUUUCAUAAUUACGACAUUAAAAAUUUAAAUAAAAAGUCACAAUUACGAUUUAUCAUAUUUUUCUUAUGUGGCAGAAAAAGGCUUCCAUAUUAAUAACAUUAAUUUAAGAAAUAAUAUAAAAACACGUCUGUACACACAAACCGCAAAAACAUGAACAUGGAAAAAUAUGGGUUUGAUUUACCAAACCUGAGAAUGAAUUACAAUUUGCAAUUAAUUGCAAAUUGUAGUCUAGUACAGAUUACAAAUUACAUGACGAAAAUUAGUAAUGUAAACUAAAUUACUAAAUUACUUUUUGAUUACUUUUGAUUUAAAAUCUCAGGAGUAAAUACUGUAAUGAAAAAGGGUUUGUCUGACAAAAAAAAGUUUGGGAAUCCCUGCUUACAUAAACAAUAAUAAACAUGAAAACAAUAAUUUGUGAAGGUCACUGGAAAUGAUGAAGACGGUGUUUCACAGCUAUAUAUUAUAUGUUUAGUAACUUGCAUAAUUAUUCAUCUCGUUUCUGUAUAAUUUUAGAAGCAUCACAAAUUUACUUACAUGACCAUUUUAUAUUGUGAACACCGUCAAAGCUAAACAGUCUAGGAUUAUUUAGAAAGGAAAAUUUAAGAGUAAAAAGAAUUAGGGAGAAACAAAUUUUGAAUAAUUUACUGCCAUUGUAACAUGUAAGCAUGUCCUCCAUAAAAAGCAACUAAUCUCAUCAUGAGCAUUUUAAAACAUAAUAUAAUCUAAUUACAAGUACUAAACCUUUGGAGUCUGAUGACAUAAUCCAGAUUACAUGAAAUCAGUUACUACCCAGAACUGGUUAUAAUAUUACAAGCUACACGUAACUGAAUGUAGGCUACAUAAGAGUACCAUGUAUAUACCAUAAUAUAUAUUGAAACUAAGGGAUAGGGCAAUGAUAAAAUAUAGAAAUAAAAAUAGAUAAAGUGUCGGCACAUUUGAAAAGCUCUAUGGUAGUUUUUGCCAGUUUAAAUGGCUUCUGUGCAAUUUAGAAAGUGCAAAUAUUCCCUGCCUAAUGAAUAAUUGUGCACAUAUCUGCUCCAUAUUAAUCACGUGAGUCUUACCUGCGGUGCAGAGACGGUCUGAUCCGGAUCCGGAUCUAGCAGCAGUCAGUAAUCCGGUUCACGCAUGAACCAUGAUGUCAUGAAACAAUCACACUUUUGUUUUUAAACAGACACAUUUACACAAAUGAGGGGGAAAACUUUAUCUAACAUUUUCCCCUAAAAUUUUAAACCUUUUUAACCGAAAAGCACAGAUAUUUAAAUAUUAGAACAGCGGGAACUGUUGAAAAGAGUUGUUUAACAUCAUCACUGAUCUAAAAACACACUUGAUAAGUUAUGAUGACAUAAUCAUCAUCAUCUGUAAGAAAUAAAGACAGCAGCCAGACGACUGUAACAGAGUGUUUGACAACUAUUAUUAUUAUUAUUAUUAUUAAUCUCUCUUUACACCCAGUGUUGUGUGGACAUCUUACUUCAGUACAUCAUGGUUUUAUUGCAGUUCAAAACCGUGUAGAAAAACAAUUUAACAGCACAGAUAAAAGCACGUCUGAUAAACCAUCAUCGUUCCUGGAGAUAAACACACGCAAACGCUGACUCCGACUGCGAAUCGAUCAGCUUCAUAAUGAGAUUGCAAAUAAAAAGUGAUUAUGAUUAAAAAUACAACAGAAGAAACAAAAAAACGAUGAACUUCCCCAAAAGAUAAUCGCUUUAAUGAUAGAUGUGUGAUUGAAUUCUGAGAACGUGUGUGAGAUUUCCAACCGGGAGUCUUUUAAUAGUUUCAAUAAAAAACAUCCAGACGGAACAAACCCAGAGAACUUUCUUCCCGACACGAGGAGAGGAACCGAGCGGCUCGACGGCGCUUUCUGAUCGAUCCCGGGCUUGAUGAUCACAGAGAGAAGCUUAUGCGGCAGAGAAACGCACGGGUCCGUCUCUCUGAAGACGCCAGACAAAUAAUCAUGGUUGAUCCUGACAAGGACACGAGCAGAUCGUCCUCACACACACACACACACACACACACACACACAUUCACUCGGGCACAAAUAAAAACAGAAAGAAAACACCCCUAGAAUGACGCAGCUGUCACUGCUGUCCAUGUGCAACACAGAAACAAGCCCGACACACACACACACGCACGCAC